AAUGAAGAAGGAAAUGAAAGCUACGUUGUAACAGUAGUGAAUUGCGUGAGUUGCGUGGUGAGUACAAUUUUCUUCAAUUACGACGAUAUUCAACCGUAUAAUUAGUACAUUUGUGAGACGUAAAAUCAAAAACUGAGAAAUAUUGUAGAGUUGCUUAACAGGAUGAAGGUAAAAGAUGAAAAAAUAAGAUACGAGUGGCUCGUAUACGAACAUAUUAUCUACCUGUAUAAUUAAUUAACCUGAUAAGAAGAACAAAUCGUCAUUGUUCUUCGUUAGAAAGCAGGAAGAAUUAGCAAAUUGAAAAUGCGAGGGAAGAGAAAUUUUUCAAAACGGAAUUUAACACAACAAUUUGGAUUUAAUUAGAAUUCUUAAUGCUAAAUAGGAUAAUUUCUUUUAAAAUAAGGGACUGAAAUAUUUCCGAGAAUUUCCUAAGAUAUACCACAAAGGGAAGGAGAGUUGCGUUAAGGUAUUCCAUGAGGUAGAUAUUGCUCGAGACAACGACGUUAUAAUUUUGAUUGAAACCAGGAUCCAGUCUCGUACGCUAGUAGGGUUGUGUAACGAGUAAUGGGAGUAUCAUAUGACAAAAGGUUGCGUAUGAUGUAGAGUGUGUGUAUAUGCGGAUUCGUGUCGUGCUUCCUUCGUAUCGUUACUCUGUACUCUUGAAUGAUUUAAACGAAGCCUCAGACGAGUCGCUUUUGCCUUUAUUUAUUCAAGAUCUAAUAACAGAAUGUGUUACUCAUUUCACCGGAAUGACUUUUUGGCUUUUGUGUACCGUAGUGCGGGGUACAUUUUUUAUGAAUUUAAAAAAAAAAAAGAACGAAAAAAGAAGAAGAAAAAAACAGAGUGAAAAAACAAAACAAGAGAGAACGAGAAACCAAAAAAGAAAAAGGAAGAAAAAAGAAAGACUCGCCAUUCGGGCGCAACGAAUUAUUAACGAUCGAUCGGAAACCUUUGCUAUAGAGAAUUUUUUUUUCUUUUUCGAGGAAAAAAAGGAAAAAGGAAUCAUUCGAAAAAAAAGAAAAAGAAGAAAAAAGAAGAAGGAAGGGGUAAACGAUUUUAUUUUAACGAGGCUUAAUUACAGAGGGAUUUAAAAGGAAGUACGCGAAAAUGUACAGGGGUUCUAUUUUUGCUCGGCGCUCAUUUAAGGAAGGAUAAUCCUUAUUCUUUAGCUUACUACGUUCGUUGGCGAGCUAAUAUCUCGCUUGUGCCAUGAGAAUCCUUACUUUUAUUUAAUUAACGACACGCUCGACUUAAUUUUUAGUGAAAUAGAUUGGAAAUUAUUCAUUAUUAUAUUAAUACGGUUGGAAUUUCUUUUCUCUAUCGUACGUUCUUCCUGUACGGAAUGAAAGAAUUUAUGGGAUGGGAAAGAAGAAAAGGAAUCGUGAAUGAAUUAAUAUGCACGAGGAAUAUUUUUUACACGUAGAUAAUAAUUCAUUCCUGUCUUUUUAAAUAAUUUUCUUUCUUCUUCGACGUACGUAAUUAGAGUCACUAAUGAUUAUCGGUGACUCGUUCUACGACGACAACCACUAUAACCAAGCAACUUUGUCUUUGCGAGCAUUACACUAUUUAACAUUCUCUCUCUGUCUCUCUCUCUCUCUCUCUCUCUCUCUCUGACUCUGUCUAUGUCUAUCUCUCUUGUGCUUCUUCGAGCUUCCUUCGACUUGCAAAUUAGCUUUCACGACGUUCGCUGAUCUCUUUGUGAGAUCCUCUUCAAUAGCUCACUAGGGUACUAUUUCUCGGUAUGUCGUAUAUAUCUAUUUUAUUGGAUUUCGACAAAUAUAACAGUCUUUAAAAGUAACUAAUUAUAUGGAGAUGUAAAAGUGGAAUAUAUUUAUCUAAAACAUUUUUUAUGUAUAAGCAAGAUAAAUUCAUUGUAUUCCAUGGCUAUUCUGAAAUUAUGCAAAAAAAAAAAAAAAAUUCGUAAAGUAUAUUCGUUUGCAGAACGUCAUUGAUAAUUUCAGAAUUAUCUCGAAUCACAAUGGUUUUCGGAAAGCCGCAAUAAUUUUAUAACCCUAUUAGAAUUCUAUAUUUAAAACAAAGUCUGCGUCUCGUAGAAUUUCAUGAUGAAUAUCAUGAUGAAGAUGAAAAUUUGAGCGAUGAUGAAACUCUUGCUUAUUAAUUAUUCCCACUCUUUAGCAUUGCCAAUUCGCUUUAUCGAACGUUUUAGGAUAUAGAAAGCGUAGAAUAAUUAUAUUCCACGAAAUAAACGAUGAAAUAGCAAAUGAAUAAUAAUCAUUUCUCUUUCGAACAAUUUCGAUUCAAAGUUCGAAAAUUUACCAAAACAACAUAUGAGAUUAGUCAAAUGACAAAUGCCGAGGAAAUGACCAAAAACAAAACAAAAGGAACAAAAAAAGGAAAAGAAGAAAAAAUAAUUGAAAAAAUAAAAAGGAACGAAAAAAAAAGAAAAAAUGGGUCCAUCUCGAAUGACACUCGUAUUUUCGAAAAAAGAAAUAACUCACACGGUGUUCAUUCGGAAGCUAUUUUUAUGGUUAAAGCGAAGGAAAAGGGGAUCAUACGUCCUAAGAUGUGCCACUGUGUCCUCCAUUUUGUUAAGCGCUCGGUCUUCUGGGAGUGAAGUUAACAUAAGGAGAGAAAGACGAGAGAAAAGAGAUGAAAAAGGAACAGGAAAAGAAAAAGAGAAAAAAAUAAUAAUCAGAAUAAAAGUGUACGGAGACAGGUCUCUAUAGAAUAUAUUAUCGACACGGUCGAAUUCAACAAGUGGUCUCGAAUAAAACGUAUUAAUUAAUUGACCAUUAAUGGAGUUGAAUAAAACUGUUGGAGAAGGGAUAAAUAUUCGAUAUUUUGUAGUGACGAUAUUAUAUAACAGUAAUAGAAAAAGAAAUAAACAAACAAAGAAUAGAUCGUUGAAGUGAAGGAGGUGUGUAAACCUGUAAAAAUUGAAGAUAAACGAGUAUUAAAGUUUUGCAAGGACGAUGAAAGUGUGUUGAUGUAUAUUGUAGGAAACAAGACAUAUAUUAGGUGAUAUCUCGAGGAAAAUACGAUAUCAGAAUGAAGCAAUAUCGAAGGGAUAUAGGUUCGAGUGUAUGUGAAAAUUGCAUUUUUACUGCUGCAAGGACGAACGAUAGUAUGUCCUUUAAAACAACAACAACAAGAACGACAUCCAAAAAAAAACGUAAUAUUGUUUCCGUUCCAGAUAACUCAAUGUUCAAGAUUUAGAUUGGAUGGUUUGGGAAUGGGGAUCGUUAAUUUAGAAAAAAAAUAAAAUAAAAUAAAUUAACUUUCAUGCUGUGUCCAAUAAUUCACGCUUAAAGUGAUUAGAAAUAUUUCACUUCUGAAUUGCAAUUGGAUCCGAUUGCGUGAAUGAGUAAUUGCACAUGUUGGAAUGUCACGUACGUACAUUCUCUAAAUUCUAACAAUUUCAUUAUAAAGUGAAAUUGUGACUCUUUCUUCCUUUUUGUUGGUUCUAAUUUUUGUCGAGUGACAUCUUUAUUAGGUAGGAAAAAAAAUCGAAAUUGUAAGUAUACAGUAAGAAAUUUAUACUUGUUAGAAUGUCAUGUUCAUAAUUAAGCGAUAUUUUAAAAUUACAUCCGUUGACUAUCCUUCAUUCAGAAAUAUAUGUAUGUAUGCAUUUAUGUAUGUACAUAUACACGUUGGUAUUAUUUCACCUCGAAAAAAAUAAAACGAAACUAGCCGUUAUAAAUUUGUCGGUACAGUCUGCCAAGAACCGAUAAAAUACGAGGCGUCGCGACGAAAUUUGUAUUGAUUUUCUCGUACAUCGAAAGUCAGUUCAGAUAGAACGAUAUUUCAAUGGUUUUGUUUUUGGUUUGAUUUAAACGAUACCAAUUACGAGCGUUUCUCGACGAAGACGUGCCCUCGAAAAAAUAAAAAAAGAAAAAAUAAAGAAAAAAGAUAAUAAGAAAUAAAAACAAAAAAGAAAUA
Molecule: long non-coding RNA, 3900 nt
Organism: Vespula pensylvanica (western yellowjacket)
Lineage: Eukaryota; Metazoa; Arthropoda; Insecta; Hymenoptera; Vespidae
Exons: 3
Source: RefSeq, a predicted model, not a curated record